UUCGAGCUGACUCUAUUGCUUUCUCACCCCCAAGGGUCCUUGGCUUCCCCAGUUAGUUCUCCUUCUGUGUCCACUGACCAUUGAGUAGAAAUUUUCUGAUUUUGCGGCGAGUCUGGUUUACUCAACUGCAAAUUAUUCAAUGAGGCAGGUGCUGCAUCAGCCACAAGAGGAGCACUUGGUGGGCACUGCAAAUUAUUCAUGGAGGCAGGUGCUGCAGCAGCCACAAGAGGAGCACUCGGUGGACCAUGUCGUUUCUUCGGCACAGGAGUGUCAUGAUCAUGUACACCCUUGUAAGUUAUGAUGACAGCAUCUGAGCUGUCCACGGCAGUCUCAACGUGCUUUCGAACAGGACAUCC
Molecule: long non-coding RNA, 356 nt
Filed under: Medicago truncatula (barrel medic)
Lineage: Eukaryota; Viridiplantae; Streptophyta; Magnoliopsida; Fabales; Fabaceae
Description: long non-coding RNA (MTRU_LNC002637)
Source: RNAcentral